RNAcentral lists this transfer RNA (65 nucleotides) under Dipodomys ordii (Ord's kangaroo rat). It matches the Rfam family "tRNA". Rfam says of the family: Transfer RNA (tRNA) molecules are approximately 80 nucleotides in length. The record is from Rfam by way of RNAcentral. Lineage: Eukaryota; Metazoa; Chordata; Mammalia; Rodentia; Heteromyidae.
GGUGGCUUAGUGGUAGAGCGCUUGCCUAGCAUGCAGGAAGCCCUGGGUUCGAUUCCUCAGUACCA